This 31-nucleotide non-coding RNA is filed under the name Mus musculus (house mouse). Lineage: Eukaryota; Metazoa; Chordata; Mammalia; Rodentia; Muridae. The record is from RNAcentral.
UGGAAGCAAAGGAAGACACUCUGAGUCUAUG